This 947-nucleotide long non-coding RNA is filed under the name Olea europaea subsp. europaea. Lineage: Eukaryota; Viridiplantae; Streptophyta; Magnoliopsida; Lamiales; Oleaceae. The record is from RNAcentral.
GAAAUUUUUACUAUUUUUUUUUUCUAUAAUUCUUUGUUUACUACACGCACGCGCACGCGGAAGAAAAAGCUGUUUGAAACUUCAGUGAUUUGUCGUGAGAUGGACCUAAAUUUGGAUUUUUUUACCAAUUUCAUAAAAAGUCAGAUUUCUGUAUCAGUUCAAUGGUGGAUCAAUCAAGAUUUCCUUACCUGAAUAAGAAAAACACGAGUCUGGAAUCCGAGUCCCCAAGAUCAUUCGCCUGUAAUUAUGAUUUCGGAGAGAGCAGUGAUCAGCGAUUUACAUACUCCCGACAAGCGUCAUUCCGUCAAUCGACCUCCAUUGAUGAGCCUCAUACUCCAUUAUCAAUAAAUACUCCAUGGAUGAAAAGAUAAUAUUCAUUUUAAUGAUUUUUCAAGGGUUCAGGUCUGGGAACAAGUAGAUGAAACGACUUUUUGUCUUGGUUUCACUCAAUGUCACGUAUUCUACCAUUGAGUUGUGUAUUGGCCUCUUCACGGGACGAGUGGGUAUGUAAAUUUCCAUAUGUUUUAUAAUUGUUUAGUUUUAGUAUUAAUAGGCAUAAUACUAAACACUUGAACGAUUUGGUUAAUAACAAAAAACAUUAUGAGAUUUUACUAAAUUUUAUGCACUAUCAAUUAAUCUAUAUGACAUUCUUGAUAUGAAUAAUAAAGCCGGACUCGUAGAGAAAGCCUUGAUUUUUUUGAUACAUAUUUACGUGAAAUUCAUAAAAGAAGGUAGCAGACCAUUUGGGAGUACCAUGCUUUCUUCCAAUUUAUCUAGGCAGAUGUUUUCUCGUAAGAUCAAAAUUUGAAGCAUAACAAUAGUAGACUAUAUUGUUUUUUUAUGUCCAAUUUCAAUGUCUAUUAUGAUUCUGUGGAGAGAAGAGGACAAAUUGGUAACUUUUGGGUUUGUUUCUCUGCAGAAUGCUUAAGCUUACGUUACUGUUUAGC